UUCCGGNUGAUCUUGCCGGAGGUUACUGCUAUCGAGGUUCGACUAAGCCAUGCGAGUCGAAUGCCGCAAGGCAUGGCGUACUGCUCAGUAACACGUGGACAACCUACCCUUAGGACUGGGAUAACCCCGGGAAACUGGGAAUAAUCCCUGAUAGUCCUCGAAGGCUGGAACGCAUCGAGGGCGAAAGCUCCGGCGCCUAAGGAUGGGUCUGCGGCCUAUCAGGUAGUAGUGGGUGUAGCGUACCUACUAGCCUACGACGGGUACGGGUUGUGAGAGCAAGAGCCCGGAGAUGGAUUCUGAGACACGAAUCCAGGCCCUACGGGGUGCAGCAGGCGCGAAAACUUUACAAUGCUGGCAACAGCGAUAAGGGAACCUCGAGUGCCAGGUUACAAAUCUGGCUGUCGAGAUGCCUAAAAAGCAUUUCAUAGCAAGGGCCGGGCAAGACCGGUGCCAGCCGCCGCGGUAACACCGGCGGCUCGAGUGGUAACCGUUAUUAUUGGGUCUAAAGGGUCUGUAGCCGGCCGGAUAAGUCUCUUGGGAAAUCCGGCAGCUCAACUGUCAGGCUAUCAGGAGAUACUGUCUGGCUCGAGGCCGGG
This 596-nucleotide ribosomal RNA is filed under the name uncultured archaeon. Its description in RNAcentral is "bacterial SSU rRNA". It matches the Rfam family "Archaeal small subunit ribosomal RNA", at positions 1 to 603 of the family's 1478-position model. The record is from RNAcentral.